Cyanistes caeruleus (blue tit) is the source of this 1256-nucleotide long non-coding RNA. RefSeq lists it as uncharacterized. The record is from RefSeq and is a predicted model, not a curated record. Lineage: Eukaryota; Metazoa; Chordata; Aves; Passeriformes; Paridae.
AGGUGAGAAAGGUGCCACACUGGCAAGCCAGACAAGUGUACAGUUGCAUUUUAGAUGAAGAGCAGCAAGAUAUUGAGAUGUACUGAAAACAUCCAACAGUAUAUGGUUCUUCUCUAAAUGGAAGUUCUUAUUUCUGACUUGUAGGAACCAAGAAACAACAUAUUCUGCAGAACAAAGGAAAUAUUCCUUCUUCUAGGGCAGAGUUUCUCAAAGAUAUCUUGAAUAAUCUCAGUGAAGAUCCAGGGUCUCAGGAGAUCAUUUAUAACUCUUUAAUAAGGAAAAGGCUUCCACUCUGCAGUCACACAUUUUGAAUGUAUAACCACACAGAUGAAAAUGUUUACCUCUUAAGUCCUUCACAGCAUUGCAGAUAUUUUUGAAAACAGAGAAAGGAAGCAAAGAAGGCACGGACACAGAAUGACAGAGCUCCAUGGUUUUGUUCAGAUUGCUAAUCAUAUUUCAAACCAGAACCACCUGCUGAAGACCUGCAGAAACAAAAGUGGAAGAAUUCUUAAUGUCCUAAUUUGAGAGGAGGUUAUAGCACAAUAUUAUUAAGAUCAAACUGCUUCAUGCUUGAAAUCAAGAACAAACCACUCUGACAAAAAAGGGGAAACUCUUGCAGCCCAGCAGUGAUGAAUCUUGAUGUUCUCAGCUGCUAAACAGACCUGAGCAUUGGCCCAGAGAGAAACAGUCUCAGUAACCACUGCUUUUCCAGCAGCAGCUGUGAGCCUGCCCACUGCUUGAUGUGUAAUGCAUUUGUCAUACAGCUUGGGCUGAGAGAAGUCAAACAGAGUAAAAAUCUAUUGUCUGAAGCUUCAAGCAGAAGGGAGGUAACUACUUAACUUCUCUCCUGAUGCUGAUGUGAGCACAGCAUGAACUGUUCAUAGGUGGUGAUUGAUAAGAGGAUUUGUGGUGGGGCUCCUUACCUGAGGUGAGGUUUUUAUUGUAACACCAGGUAAGCAAACAUUAUUAGAGGGGUGGAUUUGAUAUUGCAGUGCUUGAAGCUUUCUUAGAAAAAUGUAUUAAAGCAAAGUGAUUGUGGAGUGAGGGACAGACAAAGAGAGUGGAUUUUAGCACAUUCUUUUAGAGGGAUUGAAAAAAACCCUUCCGUUCCCAAGCACUCUGAGUAAUGCAUGGCUCUUUUGGGUCAUUGGCUUCAGCUGUUUGGAAAACACUGGGUCUUACUAAGACUUUGUGCUAGUCAGGUGGCAAUGUGGACAAUCAUCUGGCAAAGAGAUCCACAAUUUUCACUGUAAUUA